GACGAACGCUGGCGGCGUGCCUAAUACAUGCAAGUAGAACGCACAGUUUAUACCGUAGCUUGCUACACCAUAGACUGUGAGUUGCGAACGGGUGAGUAACGCGUAGGUAACCUGCCUGGUAGCGGGGGAUAACUAUUGGAAACGAUAGCUAAUACCGCAUAAUAUUGAUUAUUGCAUGAUAAUUAAUUGAAAGAUGCUAUUGCAUCACUACCAGAUGGACCUGCGUUGUAUUAGCUAGUAGGUGAGGUAACGGCUCACCUAGGCGACGAUACAUAGCCGACCUGAGAGGGUGAUCGGCCACACUGGGACUGAGACACGGCCCAGACUCCUACGGGAGGCAGCAGUAGGGAAUCUUCGGCAAUGGACGAAAGUCUGACCGAGCAACGCCGCGUGAGUGAAGAAGGUUUUCGGAUCGUAAAGCUCUGUUGUAAGAGAAGAACGGGUGUGAGAGUGGAAAGUUCACACUGUGACGGUAUCUUACCAGAAAGGGACGGCUAACUACGUG
RNAcentral lists this ribosomal RNA (505 nucleotides) under uncultured bacterium. RNAcentral's name for it is "partial 16S ribosomal RNA". It matches the Rfam family "Bacterial small subunit ribosomal RNA", at positions 28 to 507 of the family's 1533-position model. The record is from RNAcentral.